UUCAUUCUAAUAACUAGAGUAGAACUAACACAAAUUGAUCAAAAAAAAAAAAAACGCGCGUACAUGACGUGAGACUAGCUAAAUUCUUCUUGGCUCGCAAAAUAUUUUUUUUAACAUGAAUUAUACACUGAAGAAACUAUGCUAAUCCAAAAACAUAUUUAUCAUUUGCAAUAUAAUUAACCAAAAAAAGAAGUUUGGAAGUUAAAACCACUUACCCUUAGGCACCUCCCACAUGCAGCCUGCCCUCGAGGUCCAGCAGGUCCACAAAAGGCAGUCCAACCAUAUUGCCUCCGCCACGAAAGGGGCUUGUUAGCAUCCCAUGUUGCACAAAAAACCCUAGCAGCGUUGAGGUCCCAAUUGAUAUUUUGGGGAUUGUACAAAUUGUAAGUGGCCCUAACAUUAGAAGCACUCUGGGAGUCAGCCACAGCAACAAAGAGGGUAAACGAAACGAUGCAAAGAAUUAGGGGAACCCUUUCCAUUUUGCUAUUUUUUGUCACAAGUUCUUCUUCUUGUAAAUUUUGAUGUAUGUGGCUUGCAUUUAUAGAGAAAUAGGUAGAGAUAGCAAAGUCGAAGAAGGAAACUCCAGCCCAUUUUCACUGAUGUGCUGUCAAAUUAAGAAGAGGAAACACUGGCAUAUGGAAUCUAGUUCAUUGUCAUCCUCUAGAAAGUCUUCGUGGAAUAUAACAAUAAAGACAAGAAAAUUGAAAUUAACAUGGUACGUAAUGUCGGUCAGUGAUUAUCCGAGCUUGACUCAACUUAUCGUUUUGACCCCCAAAAAAAAAAUUAUCCGAACUUGGCUGCUUUUCAUGACUAGGUCAGUCAAGUCAAGAUGUUAAUUAUUUGCGCAUUAUUUGAAAUAUUAUUUUAAAUAAUUACUAUAGCACUUUUUGUGAUAUGUGAGAUAAAAUACUAAUUAGAAAUAUAAAAAUGUGGAUUGAGAAAUGUGUUUAUGAUACAAGCAAAAUACUAUGUAAAAAAAAAAAAAAAAUUUAGCUAUCCAAACACUCUCAUAUAAAUUUGUUUAUAAUUCAAUUGACUAACAAAUAACGGAAAUAUUUGGCUUCUCUAUUUAGUUAUAAGAUUGACUAACCGAAUCUUAAGUUAAUUUGAAAAAGUCUUUAAAUAUAAGAAUACAAUAAAUAUAAAUAUGUAUAUUCAUAUGAAAUUUAGAUAUGCGAACGAGUACCAACUGAUCCCUUUCAAAAUAUUGAUUACUUUUCAAGUGUUUCAAACGGAACUAAUCGAAAACAAAAUCUAGUUGCGAUUUAAUCCUAGCAAUUAAGAAAAUCCUAGAUCGUGUGCUAGGCGGCGAGUUUGGCAAGGGCGGCUACGUUACGAAAAUGUGCGAAGACUGCCAAGUACAUUGCCACCCAAAGAUUUCUUCACACGGCAACCAAUGGAGAUGGCUCUUUCUAUAUUGGAGCUCUUCUUGGCUGCUCUAGCAUAUAUUUUAGAGGCUGGUCCAUAUUCCUUUUUUUUUGGUUUAAUCAAUAAGGAUUAUCAGGUUUUCUUUUCUUGUGGGUAAGGAAAUAAGGCUGCAAAGUUUGAAUAUUAUAGCCUAAUAGGCUAGUCUAUGUUGGACAUAUUUACCAAAGAAAAGUUGGGAUUACUACUCACUAGCCUCUGUUACUUGUUUGGUUAUCUAGUCAAUUUGUAGUUCUUUUUUUUUUUUUUUGUUAUUUAAGCUUCUUGUCCAACUUUUUAUAUUACUGUGUUUAUAGAUCACAAAAUCAAAUGUUGACUUAAGCUCCCAUGAUUCUUAUGAAAAAUGUGGAACUUUUUCUUUUCAAGAAUUAAAAAUUGUAUAUUACAUAAUAUGUAUGUAAAUAUAAAUUUCAUUAUCAAAUGAUAAUAUUAUACUACCUUAGCACACGUUUGUUAACAUAACAUCAAAGUAAAAUCAAUUACGAAAUGAGAGCAUUUAUUUUUUGAGGAAUGUAAAUCUAUCAUGAAGUGAGGGUGAAAGGGACUUUUCAUGCUAUUUUCCCCAUAUCCUCAUAUUUGACAGCAUGCCUUGUUCACUCCCAUUUCUUUUUAUCAUCUGUAUGGUAAAGUUAAGUUGCUUAUAUUCAGAGAUCAGCCUUCAUCGUAUAUAAGGUCGUAGCUUAUAUACAUAUUAUUAUGGCUUUUUUGCAAUCUACAAUAGCUUUAUUAUUGACUAUUGUUAAAGGCACACCCGAUGUGCUUGUAAUUUAGAAAUAACGAUUAUUUUUUUUAUGAAUUUGUAAAUCUUAUUUUUACACAAAUAAAUUUAUAAGAACUUUUCAUUAACAAACUUCAAUUUAUCAAUAAUUUUUUUUCUUUAAUUGAAAAAUAGAUAAUUUUGUAGUUGCAAUAUUCAAGGUAGUUAUGAGCGGUUAUGUUAGCAAAUGUGUAUCAGAUGAUUAGGGUAAAAAUAUUAGUUUUUCUAAGGAUAAAAUGAAAAGUGAAAAAAGGAUAGAAAAUGUUUACACCAAGUACUGUCACCGCUUUCCUUUUAUAUAUUGUAUAGAUAAUCAAUACACAACCAGCCAACCGGCAUAAACCCAACCUGGUACGUAUAUAUUAUUCAAAUUUAUUGAUUACAGGAAAUUUCAGUUUUCCCAUCACAUAAGACUGAGAGUAGUAGACGGCCUUAACAGUUAACAAAUUCAUAGUUGACUGUUAGGAAACCGUUGGCAAUGCCCUGGCCAUUAGUGUCAAUCUGCCGAAAGGGGCCAACGUCCAAAUCUAGCCCACCAUUGCUACAUUGAUCAACAAUCCUUACAACAACUUGAUCUCCAGUUGCGGUGUUAGUCACCUGCAUUAAAGAUUUAUAUGAGAUGUUUAAGAUUUAUAUAGCUUUUUCAGCUUUACUAGUUCUUGAAAACAUGCACAUAACUCUUAGUGUAAACCUACUACUCACUUUAGCUCUGGAUGUAUAAAGUGCUUUAAAAAGGAAAUCACUCUUCAGUUAGUUGAAAUGCCAAGAUUGACAGGCAAAGAGACCAAAAAGUGAAUUUUUUUUCUUUAAUGGACAUGAAAAGAGCAGAUUGAUAUGGUUGUGGAAGUGGAAAAAUAACAAUUGAUUUACAUAGAAUGAAUCCAACAAUGAUGGAAUUUUGUGCUUUAAAUGGACAUGAAGCGCUAAAUAGGAAACACAAAAGGUUUUCAAUAAUCUAAUUUCCCCCACACCAUAAAAUAUUUAAACACAGUAUUUUUUUUUUUUUUUUGGCCAAUGUUGUAUUAAAAUCCAACUAUUGCUGUUCUCAUUCUACUAACUAGAGUAGAACUAACACAAAUUAUUCUUGAAGCCAAAAAAAAAAAAAAAACACAUACACACACACAAACAAACAAAAAAAAGGUGAGACUAGCUAAAUUCCUCUUUACUAGUGAACAUUUUUCUCUGCACGACUUACACACUGAAGAAACUAUGGGAAUCCAGUAACAUAUUUAUCAUUGACAAACUAAUUAACCCAAAAAAAAAAAAAAAAGAAGUUGUCAAAGUUAAAACCACUUACCCUAAGGCACCUCCCGCAGGAAGCCUGACCAGUAGGUCCAGCAGGUCCACAAAAGGCAGUCCAACCAUAUUGGCUCCGCCACUGAAGGGACAUGUUAGCAUCCCAUGUUGCACAGUAGACCCCGGCACGGUUUAGGUCCCA
Molecule: long non-coding RNA, 3620 nt
Filed under: Coffea arabica (coffee)
Lineage: Eukaryota; Viridiplantae; Streptophyta; Magnoliopsida; Gentianales; Rubiaceae
Description: long non-coding RNA (CARA_LNC001924)
Source: RNAcentral